CCUUCACGCAGCAGGCGCAACCGCCGCGGAGCGCUGCUGUCUCCGGCGUCCUCGCAGCAGAUCCGCUGUCGCCUCCCUCGGUUUCUCUCUCGGCGACAACAGCCCAUGGCUGCCGCCGUCCUGAUCCCGACAAGACUCAUCCCAGCCAGACCAGACCACCUCUCUCUCUCUCCGGCCGUGGCCGGGCAGCAGCGGCACCGCCGCCGUGCCCUGCCUCCCUCCGCUGAAGCCCAACCUCCCAUCUCUUUCUUCUCUUCUUCCCCUAGCUGCGCCCCCAACAUCCCUCUAUUUCCCUCUCAACAAUCAAACACACGCGCACGGACAUGGCGUAAGCCACGCCGCCGCCGGAUACAGGACAGCAAACGCCCCACCGCGGUGCGCCGCCGCCUGCUCCUUCUUUUCCGACAAAUAGCCGAAGCUACCUCCGUCUCCGCCCCGCCCGAAAUCGAUCGGAAACGACGACAGGUUCACCGCCGCCGCUCCGUUGCCGACGACGAGCCACCGAGGUUGUCAUUUCCCGACCUCGACUCACACACAAAACAGGGGUGUCAAGCAUCAAAUCAGUUCAAACAUAGGGUUUUCUUGUGCAAAUUCACUUUACAACUGUAAUACUCAAUAUAAAGUCUUUUAUUCAUCUGUAAUUUCAUUUCACAUAUAACAUAUCUUGUGAACAUAUAGUGAAACGUCAAGUAACUGUGUGUGUUGGGAUUCUGUGUUGGUGAUUUGGAGAAUUAAACAAAAGGGGAUAAUACCUUGAGUAGACGGUGUGGGAUGUUUGUUUCUUGUUACUGAAAACUUCUUGUGGUUUUGUGAAAGUAAAUGGAGAUGCUUUACCCAAUA
Molecule: long non-coding RNA, 840 nt
Organism: Salvia miltiorrhiza (redroot sage)
Lineage: Eukaryota; Viridiplantae; Streptophyta; Magnoliopsida; Lamiales; Lamiaceae
Exons: 2
Source: RefSeq, a predicted model, not a curated record